This 381-nucleotide ribosomal RNA is filed under the name Salmonella enterica. Its description in RNAcentral is "bacterial SSU rRNA". It matches the Rfam family "Bacterial small subunit ribosomal RNA", at positions 1 to 380 of the family's 1533-position model. The record is from RNAcentral. Lineage: Bacteria; Pseudomonadati; Pseudomonadota; Gammaproteobacteria; Enterobacterales; Enterobacteriaceae.
AAAUUGAAGAGUUUGAUCAUGGCUCAGAUUGAACGCUGGCGGCAGGCCUAACACAUGCAAGUCGAACGGUAGCACAGAGAGCUUGCUCUCGGGUGACGAGUGGCGGACGGGUGAGUAAUGUCUGGGAAACUGCCUGAUGGAGGGGGAUAACUACUGGAAACGGUGGCUAAUACCGCAUAACGUCGCAAGACCAAAGAGGGGGACCUUCGGGCCUCUUGCCAUCAGAUGUGCCCAGAUGGGAUUAGCUUGUUGGUGAGGUAACGGCUCACCAAGGCGACGAUCCCUAGCUGGUCUGAGAGGAUGACCAGCCACACUGGAACUGAGACACGGUCCAGACUCCUACGGGAGGCAGCAGUGGGGAAUAUUGCACAAUGGGCGCAA